Molecule: ribosomal RNA, 330 nt
Filed under: Triticum aestivum (bread wheat)
Lineage: Eukaryota; Viridiplantae; Streptophyta; Magnoliopsida; Poales; Poaceae
Description: partial small subunit ribosomal RNA
Source: RNAcentral
AUGCAGUCUGUUGAGGAUUCUACUAGACCACACAAUAUGGCUGAUGAAGAAGAGGCAUUCAUGGGAACAGCUAGUGAACCCAAAACACCAAAUGCUAAGGGCCCAAUGGUAGGCCCAUCUUCCAGCAAAAGAAAAAGAGACGAACCAAAUUCAAAUGAGAAAAAAGCAGAUGCUCAAAAGAAAAGGAAAGGUCACUACAAAAAAUACACUUCCGUGAUGAUACGUGUUUGUCACAGUAUGUCACAUUUUCUAUCAUGCAUGUACAUCCAUGACGAUUUUGUGACAGAAUCAAGAUGGUCAUACCUGUGCUAUAGUAGAAGUGUACCAUGA